RNAcentral lists this ribosomal RNA (468 nucleotides) under uncultured bacterium. RNAcentral describes it as "partial 16S ribosomal RNA". It matches the Rfam family "Bacterial small subunit ribosomal RNA", at positions 28 to 507 of the family's 1533-position model. The record is from RNAcentral.
GACGACCGCUGGCGGCGUGCUUAACACAUGCAAGUCGAACGGAAAGGCCCUGCUUUUGUGGGGUGCUCGAGUGGCGAACGGGUGAGUAACACGUGAGUAACCUGCCCUUGACUUUGGGAUAACUUCAGGAAACUGGGGCUAAUACCGGAUAGGAGCUCCUGCUGCAUGGUGGGGGUUGGAAAGUUUCGGCGGUUGGGGAUGGACUCGCGGCUUAUCAGCUUGUUGGUGGGGUAGUGGCUUACCAAGGCUUUGACGGGUAGCCGGCCUGAGAGAGUGACCGGCCACAUUGGGACUGAGAUACGGCCCAGACUCCUACGGGAGGCAGCAGUGGGGAAUAUUGCACAAUGGGCGGAAGCCUGAUGCAGCAACGCCGCGUGCGGGAUGACGGCCUUCGGGUUGUAAACCGCUUUCGCCUGUGACGAAGCGUGAGUGACGGUAAUGGGUAAAGAAGCACCGGCUAACUACGUG